Molecule: non-coding RNA, 619 nt
Organism: Heterocephalus glaber (naked mole-rat)
Lineage: Eukaryota; Metazoa; Chordata; Mammalia; Rodentia; Bathyergidae
Source: RefSeq, a predicted model, not a curated record
CUUAGAGCAAGCUGCAUUCUUCUUCCUGGAAUAUCGCAGCCCCUGCUGCACAGCCCAGCUAUGAAGAGGCUGCAACCAGUCCAUGGACACAUUCUCACUCUGACCCUCACCAGCUGUGCGAGCUGUGACGAGUCACUUCACGUCUCUGGGCUUCCGUUUGCCUCCUGUGAAGCAUGUACAAUUCCUGGCCACCCUAGCUGUGUUCCCCAGACCACUGACACCGACGUCCUUUGAAUGGUGCACGUUCUGAGACCUGCCCUCAAACUAAGGAGUCAGAAUCUGCAUUUCUGCACCAUCCCCGGGUGACUCCUGGACAUGCAGAGUUUGAGAACAGUUUCCGGUGAGAGUUAAAGGGAAUGGCCUGCCCACCGCAGGGCCCCCCUGGAGGCCAGCAGUGGCUCCUGGUGCUGCUGGUGCUGAGAUAUCUGCUGCCCGUAGGUCCUUUGCAGAAUGAAACGAUCAACACCAGGUGGGCUCCCCCAGCCCCUUCAGCUCGCUGCCUGGCCUCUGCUGUUUCUGGACAUUUCAAGCUGAUGUGUGCCCCAGGCCCUUGGCCCUAGCUUUCACUCCAUCCGUUGUUCUUUCUGGAGCUCUCCCCAGAGUUGCCUACUCCUCUUCA